AAAGGGAGACCUAAUUCGGGUAUAAGACGAAAAAAUAGUAGUCGAAACCAAGAAUCAAUCCCAAAAGGUCGGAACGAGGUAUGUGGCUUUCAAACUAGGUUCUGGGUUCAUAAAAGACCUGAAUCAGGAACAAGGGCUAUUAGCUCAGGUGGUUAGAGCGCACCCCUGAUAAGGGUGAGGUCCCUGGUUCGAGUCCAGGAUGGCCCACCUGCACAAGUGGCAAAAACAAAGAAAAGAAGCGAGGAAUCAGCACCUUAUCUUACUUAUAUAGUAAGAGAGAAUGCUGGCUCUGAGUACAGAGUCCAGAGGAACCUUGAAAACUGCAUAGAGCUAGGUGAAAAAGCCAAAAAAGAAGACCGCAAG
RNAcentral lists this transfer RNA (363 nucleotides) under uncultured Microcystis sp. RNAcentral describes it as "partial 16S-23S ribosomal RNA intergenic spacer". The stretch from base 134 to 207 matches the Rfam family "tRNA". The record is from RNAcentral. Lineage: Bacteria; Bacillati; Cyanobacteriota; Cyanophyceae; Chroococcales; Microcystaceae.